AUUUUAACAUUUCAACAUCCCUCGUUCGGCAGCUUGUGCAAUAUCACUUCCCUCCAACUCAUUUCAUUUCUCUUCCCAUCACCACAGUCCUGUCGCGUUCCUUCAACCUCCACAGCUCCACUUGCACAAUCGCCACCGUCUUCAAAACCUGCGCCUCUCUUUCUCUCGGAGCUCAGAUCCAAAGUCUGAGCAAAGCAAAUUCGCUCAGCAUCAAUGGGGUAAUCCUUCUCUCCAUUUCAAUUUGUAGGUAAUGGGUAAAACCCAAAUUGGGGUUUCUUUUAGAUCUGUGGAUGAACACGCACCAAGUUUUGAAGACACGAGCCCAGCACCUGUAAUUGACGGUGGUGGAGGAGUCAGAAGCAUCAGGACGCAGAGCAAGGUCUAGAGGCAAAUUUUGUCGUUGAAAUUUUGUUUGUUUUAUUAACUAUAUUCUUCGUGAUUAAUAGAAUCAGAAGGAUUAUUCCUUUAAUUUUUAAGCAAAUCUAGUUGAUGCUGAUUUGCCUUAUAAGAUUUGCUUAGCUUGGAAUGUGGUUUGAGGUUAUUGGUUCAGCCAGACGUUGAUGUAUGGUCUUGAUGUGCUGUUGGCUUUUUUGCUAAAUAUAGUUUACAUUAUGGUUUGACCGAAAGUGUUGAUUGUUAGUUUGUGUCUAGAAUUGUAGAGGUUGUUUGUAUUCGGAAUUUUGAGAAUUGCAUAUCAUUGACUGUCUUGAAAUGUUCUCUUCUGCCUGUAAUGAUUACGAGGUGAAAUGUUUGAUCGAUUUUGAGUCCUUGAUCUUACUUUGAAGAAGAAGAAGAAUCACGCAGACACUUAGAAAGUUUUGAGGUGCUAAAUAAGAUAAGUGCUACUUCACCAAAUCUCCCUGCUGUUUCUUCACUACUGCUUCUAAGGUUGCUUUGGAAUGUUAAUCUUUCUUGGUGUUUUGAUUGGAGCAGUAUGAGUAUUGCUGAAGCAUUGCGAUUGCAGGUAGAACUCCAAAAGCAGCUUCAUGAACAACUUGAGAAUUUCAUUCUAGGUUAAUUGUUAGCUCGGUGGAUGGGAAUACUCGUAAAAUACACAAGAAAAGAACUAAGAAUAGGAAUGGUUGGUAUAUCUGUUGUCAUUGAUUGCAAGGUCAUUGCACACAACUAAUAUACUGAUGGUUGAUUCAUAGCGUCACCAAUUUUUUUCUGGGAUAGAUUGGAGUGCAAGGUCAAACAAAAUACUUACUUCAUAUCAGGAUUGGAACUUGAGAAGAUUUCCUUGUACCUUCUUUUAAGAGGAAAAAAGUUCGCAUCGAAUGAAUCUCUGAUCCAUACGAGAGGGAAAAGAGGCAAACUGGCAUUGAAAGCCUUUUUUUUUUAGGCAUUGGAGGAAUCUGGAUGUUGAAACACUUUGUAAAAGAGAUGGCAUGGUGACCAAAUCCAGAGCUCUUGUCAUCACUGGAGUAGAAAUGAAAUGUGGUAGUUUUUCAGAAGUUUGAUGGGAAUGUUAAACACUGAAUUCAGCACCAAGUUAUCAAUAUGAUUGAAGCCUGGUCCCCGUAUA
Rosa chinensis is the source of this 1525-nucleotide RNA transcript. RefSeq lists it as uncharacterized. The transcript has 6 exons. Lineage: Eukaryota; Viridiplantae; Streptophyta; Magnoliopsida; Rosales; Rosaceae. The record is from RefSeq and is a predicted model, not a curated record.